Molecule: ribosomal RNA, 253 nt
Filed under: uncultured bacterium
Lineage: Bacteria
Description: partial 16S ribosomal RNA
Rfam family: Bacterial small subunit ribosomal RNA
Source: RNAcentral
UACGAAGGGGGCUAGCGUUGCUCGGAAUUACUGGGCGUAAAGCGCACGUAGGCGGAUUGUUAAGUCGGGGGUGAAAUCCUGGAGCUCAACUCCAGAACUGCCUUCGAUACUGGCGAUCUCGAGUUCGGGAGAGGUGAGUGGAACUGCGAGUGUAGAGGUGAAAUUCGUAGAUAUUCGCAAGAACACCAGUGGCGAAGGCGAGUCUCUGGACAUUUCCUGACGCUGAGGCACGAAAGCCAGGGGAGCAAACGGG